Small nucleolar RNA from Zingiber officinale, 104 nucleotides. The record is from RefSeq and is a predicted model, not a curated record. Lineage: Eukaryota; Viridiplantae; Streptophyta; Magnoliopsida; Zingiberales; Zingiberaceae.
AGUCUAUGGUGAGGGCAUUGCCGUAGUAGACCUUUGAAUCUAUCCCAAACUUUAUAGAGAGAUUCUCUAUCUUUUUGCAUGAAACUUGAGAUCCUCAUAUGGGU